This 253-nucleotide ribosomal RNA is filed under the name uncultured bacterium. Its description in RNAcentral is "partial 16S ribosomal RNA". It matches the Rfam family "Bacterial small subunit ribosomal RNA", at positions 524 to 776 of the family's 1533-position model. The record is from RNAcentral.
GACAGAGGGUGCUAGCGUUGUUCGGAAUUACUGGGCGUAAAGGGUGCGUAGGUGGGUUGGUAAGUCAGUGGUGAAAUCUCCGAGCUUAACUUGGAAACUGCCAUUGAUACUAUCAGUCUUGAAUAUUGUGGAGGUCAGCGGAAUAUGUCAUGUAGCGGUGAAAUGCUUAGAUAUGACAUAGAACACCAAUUGCGAAGGCAGCUGGCUACGCAUAUAUUGACACUGAGGCACGAAAGCGUGGGGAUCAAACAGG